This 1215-nucleotide long non-coding RNA is filed under the name Mus musculus (house mouse). RNAcentral's name for it is "long non-coding RNA chr6:47463339-47464554". The record is from RNAcentral. Lineage: Eukaryota; Metazoa; Chordata; Mammalia; Rodentia; Muridae.
UCAGCUACACAGCAGGCCAAGGCAAGAAGAUCACAGGUCAGGUUAAGCCCCAGCAACUUAGUGACCUGCCUCAAAGUGAAAAAUGUGAACUAUGUUAAGGCUGCAGCCAUGUGCAAUGUACAAUGCUUGCCUAGUGUUUCAUGAUGACUCCUGCCACAAAAAAGGAAAGAGAAAAAUAAAAACCAAAUAAAAAAGUGUAUUCUCUUCAGCUAAUUUGUAGUGGAGUAGGAAGAUUGCUUGAAUGAUGGCCUAAGUAAGGAGAAUGGCUGAUGAGUUUUCAGACCAGAGUUAGAUGAGUUCUUUUAGCAAAAUAAAAAAAAGAGUGAGUUGUUUGGUUUUUUUUUUAUUUUUGUUUUUUUUUUUUUUUUGUUUUUUGUUUUGUCUUUAAUUGAAAACCUUGAAGAGGUGAUGAAUAGCUGGAUGUUUUCAUCAUGAUGUGCCACUUUAAAAAUCUUAUUCAGCAGGUAGUUUCUCGGACCUUGUAUCCACUGGCCACAGAACAAAGUGGUCACUGCACAUGAGACCUUUGGAAAUUGAGUAGGAUUUGUGGGGACUAUGAGUUGAAGUAGAGUCCAUUGCUGCAGUCAUCACAUGCUUGUACUUCUUAGCUGAAGCAGUUUUCAUGGACAAGCCUAAGUGACAGAAGGAGAGAGACAAGGGAUCAUUACAAGGGACCAGUACAACUCUACUGGGAACAUUUUGGUGUGGAUUUGGGGGCAGUAUUGACUCUGUACCAUCAUAUCAAAAUAUUGUGGAAUUUAAUGGCAGCAUUUAUUUACUUCAUUUUGCCUGGAAAGCCAGUAUUGUCCCCUACAGUAAAAGCUCAGCAGUGAAGAGAUCUACUAGUGAGUUGUGGUGAGGAUUUAAAGUUCCAUAAACACAUUUGUCUUUGAAAUACUCUUGUGUUUCUAAUAAAUAGUACUGGAGACAUCUGCAUCUGAAAUGCUUAGUGCUCUGGGUACAUCUUUGACUGUCUAGAAUAGCUUGGGAUGGGCAGUCCUUUCCACCAGCUAGAUUCCUGAACUCAAUAAAAAGGAGAAAGUUAGCUAAGUAUAGACUUUCAUCUGCCUUUGUUUCCUAACUGUGGCUUCAGUGUGAACAGCUGCCUCAUACCUGCCACCAUGCCUUCCUCUUCAUGAUAGACUGUUCCUUUAAAAGAUUCAGAGUAAAGCCUUCUUUCCUUGGGCUGCUUUUGUGAGAAUAUUUUAUAACAGC